RNAcentral lists this ribosomal RNA (467 nucleotides) under uncultured bacterium. RNAcentral describes it as "partial 16S ribosomal RNA". It matches the Rfam family "Bacterial small subunit ribosomal RNA", at positions 29 to 507 of the family's 1533-position model. The record is from RNAcentral.
ACGAACGCUGGCGGCGUGCUUAACCCCUGCAAGUCGAACGGAAAGGCCCUGCUUUUGUGGGGUGCUCGAGUGGCGAACGGGUGAGUAACACGUGAGUAACCUGCCCUUGCCUUUGGGUUAACUUCAGGAAACUGGGGCUAAUACCGGAUAGGAGCUCCUGCUGCAUGGUGGGGGUUGGAAAGUUUCGGCGGUUGGGGAUGGACUCGCGGCUUAUCAGCUUGUUGGUGGGGUAGUGGCUUACCCAGGCUUUGACGGGUAGCCGGCCUGAGAGGGUGACCGGCCACAUUGGGACUGAGAUACGGCCCAGACGCCUACGGGAGGCAGCAGUGGGGAAUAUUGCACAAUGGGCGGAAGCCUGAUGCAGCAACGCCGCGUGCGGGAUGACGGCCUUCGGGUUGUAAACCGCUUUCGCCUGUGACGAAGCGUGAGUGACGGUAAUGGGUAAAGAAGCACCGGCUAACUACGUG